AGUGAACGCUGGCGGCAGGCCUAACACAUGCAAGUCGAACGGCAGCACAGGAGAGCUUGCUCUCUGGGUGGCGAGUGGCGGACGGGUGAGGAAUAUAUCGGAAUCUACCCUUUCGUGGGGGAUAACGUAGGGAAACUUACGCUAAUACCGCAUACGAACUGAGGUUGAAAGCGGCGGACCGCAAGGCGUCGCGCGGAUGGAUGAGCCGAUAUCCGAUUAGCUAGUUGGCGGGGUAAAGGCCCACCAAGCCGACGAUCGGUAGCUGGUCUGAGAGGAUGAUCAGCCACACUGGAACUGAGACACGGUCCAGACUCCUACGGGAGGCAGCAGUGGGGAAUAUUGGGCAAUGGGCGCAAGCCUGAUCCAGCCAUGCCGCGUGUGUGAAGAAGGCCUUCGGGUUGUAAAGCACUUUUGUUGGGAAAGAAAAGCGGUCGGUUAAUACCCGGUCGUUCUGACGGUACCCAAAGAAUAAGCACCGGCUAACUUCGUGCCAGCCGCCGCCGUAA
Molecule: ribosomal RNA, 506 nt
Filed under: uncultured bacterium
Lineage: Bacteria
Description: partial 16S ribosomal RNA
Rfam family: Bacterial small subunit ribosomal RNA
Source: RNAcentral